UGGGGAAUUUUGGACAAUGGGGGAAACCCUGAUCCAGCCAUCCCGCGUGUGCGAUGAAGGCCUUCGGGUUGUAAAGCACUUUUGGCAGGAAAGAAACGUCGCGGGUUAAUACCCCGCGAAACUGACGGUACCUGCAGAAUAAGCACCGGCUAACUACGUGCCAGCAGCCGCGGUAAUACGUAGGGUGCAAGCGUUAAUCGGAAUUACUGGGCGUAAAGCGUGCGCAGGCGGUUCGGAAAGAAAGAUGUGAAAUCCCAGAGCUUAACUUUGGAACUGCAUUUUUAACUACCGGGCUAGAGUGUGUCAGAGGGAGGUGGAAUUCCGCGUGUAGCAGUGAAAUGCGUAGAUAUGCGGAGGAACACCGAUGGCGAAGGCAGCCUCCUGGGAUAACACUGACGCUCAUGCACGAAAGCGUGGGGAGCAAACAGGAUUAGAUACCCUGGUAGUCCACGCCCUAAAACGAUGUCAACUAGCUGUUGGGGGCCUUCGGGCCUUGGUAGCGCAGCUAACGCGUGAAGUUGACCGCCUGGGGGAGUACGGUCGCAAGAUUAAAAACUUAAAGGAAUUGACGGGGGUCAUAGCUGUUUCCCU
Molecule: ribosomal RNA, 591 nt
Filed under: uncultured bacterium
Lineage: Bacteria
Description: partial 16S ribosomal RNA
Rfam family: Bacterial small subunit ribosomal RNA
Source: RNAcentral